CUAGUCUUAUCGGUGGAUCACUCGGCUCGUGGAUCGAUGAAGAACGCAGCCAACUGCGAUAAUUAGUGUGAACUGCAGAAACCUUGAACACAGUACUUUCGAAUGCACAUUGCGCCAUUGGAGUGACAUCCAUUGGCACGCCUGGUUCAGGGUCGUAAC
This 159-nucleotide ribosomal RNA is filed under the name Globodera pallida. Its description in RNAcentral is "5.8S ribosomal RNA". It matches the Rfam family "5.8S ribosomal RNA". From Rfam's summary of the family: 5.8S ribosomal RNA (5.8S rRNA) is a component of the large subunit of the eukaryotic ribosome. The record is from RNAcentral. Lineage: Eukaryota; Metazoa; Nematoda; Chromadorea; Rhabditida; Heteroderidae.